AAAGAAACUGAGGAGCAGCCACGUGAGCACAGCAAGAAGUCGGCCCUUUACAAGCCAGGACGUGGGUCCUCACAAGAAACUGAAUCGUCUGGCAUCUUGAUCUUGGACUUUCAGCCUCCAGAACUGAGGCUGUUUACCCACAAUUCACGGUGAAAAACUGAAAACAGCUGUUGAGAAGAACCGAGGUCCCAGUCCUCCCACGGUGGGAAAAGGGGGUGAAAAAGGUCUGCAGCCGGGGAUCUGCAUCCCUCCUCCAAAGGAUGGCAAAGUGACAUUUUCCCGCUACCACCGAGGGAAAGAAGUGACACUAAGAACUAACGCAUCGCCUGGGAGGUGGACGUUUCCUGCCUUCCUCCGAAUACGCCGGAAGAUGCUCUAGUGCAAGAACGUGGAGUCUCCCUCUGCAGUACUGUCCUCUGGGCCCUCCCGAAGUUGCCCUCUUCUUGGUGCUUCUGUUACCCGUGCAAUCAGGGAAUUGAGUUCCCCUGGUAACAAAACCUUCAAAAGCCAAGUCCAAGGUGAACCUACCUUGGAUCAAAUUCGGCAUUUGAGUGUGUCAGGCUAAGGGGAGGCUCCAAGGCAGAUGCUGCUUGUGAAUCUGAGUCUGCUGACCGAGAACUCUCUAAGCCAGCAGGUCAACUUGGUUUCUGCUGCGCUGACGACAAGGGCAAGCAUUUACUGGGCACUUCCUGUGUGCCAGGCAAGUGCUGAGUGCAUCACCUGAACUAGCUCAUUAAUCCUCAGAGAAGCUCUCUGAAGUCCACACUGUCCUCAUCCCCGUCUCACAGAGGACACAAGAGAACUGUCACUUGCCCCAGGACCCAGCAAGUGGCUCUCAAACUCACUCUCAACCACAGGGAGGGAGGGAUCUGCUGAGAUGCACCAUGGAUCCUGAUGGACCUCAGAGAACAGUUAAUCCGGUCCCUCUGUUCACAGAUGGAGAAGCUGAGUCCCAGAGAGGGGAAGGGACUGGCCCAAGUCCACACAGAGAAUGGAAAAGCCUGCCCGAGCACAGCGCACUAAGAAUUAUCCUGCGCCUUGACAUUCUUGGCUAGUGUCAGGAGGUCCCCCUAAGCCCUGAGUCACAGGUUUUUAUUUUAUUUUCCCCAGAUUCCAAAGUGGCUUCAGUCCUUCGUGGGACUAAACACGUCGGCAUAAGAUCUUGUCAAAACAACAGCACAUCCCUUGUUUUAGGACUUUCAUCGAGGAGUAGACUGUCCCACCAGGAUCACCGGCCUCUUGUGAUGUGAAUUCUGGCUUCUGCAGGUCAUUAGCUCGUGUCCCUGGUCAAGCCACUCAACCUCUGAGCUGGUUUGUUCAUCGGUAAAAUGGGGAUACCAAUAUUCGAGAAAGGGUGUAUUAUAUUCCAGGCCAGUGCUGUCCAACACAAAUGUAACGGGAGCCACAGGUGCCAGCGAGAGUGAGAGUUGGCAUCCUUUUAUUUCUUUUGCAAUAACUUUCUUAAGCUCAAGGAUGGAGGCGUGUUUGAUUUUGAAUUUUUUCCUUUUUCUUCUUCUCCCCAAAGCCCCCCAGUACUUAGUUGUAUAUUCUAGUUGCAGGUCCUUCUGGUUGUGCCAUGUGGGACGCCGCCUCAGUGUGGCCUGACGAGCGGUGCCAUGUCCGUGGCCGGCGUCUGAACCGGUGAAACCCUGGG
This is a long non-coding RNA of Equus caballus (horse), 1654 nucleotides long. The record is from Ensembl. NCBI's taxonomy places the organism in Eukaryota, Metazoa, Chordata, Mammalia, Perissodactyla, Equidae.